CGCUCAGGACGAACGCUGGCGGCGUGCCUAAUACAUGCAAGUCGUACGCUUCUUUUUCCACCGGAGCUUGCUCCACCGGAAAAAGAGGAGUGGCGAACGGGUGAGUAACACGUGGGUAACCUGCCCAUCAGAAGGGGAUAACACUUGGAAACAGGUGCUAAUACCGUAUAACAAUCGAAACCGCAUGGUUUUGAUUUGAAAGGCGCUUUCGGGUGUCGCUGAUGGAUGGACCCGCGGUGCAUUAGCUAGUUGGUGAGGUAACGGCUCACCAAGGCCACGAUGCAUAGCCGACCUGAGAGGGUGAUCGGCCACAUUGGGACUGAGACACGGCCCAAACUCCUACGGGAGGCAGCAGUAGGGAAUCUUCGGCAAUGGACGAAAGUCUGACCGAGCAACGCCGCGUGAGUGAAGAAGGUUUUCGGAUCGUAAAACUCUGUUGUUAGAGAAGAAUAAGGAUGAGAGUAACUGUUCAUCCCUUGACGGUAUCUAACCAGAAAGCCACGGCUAAC
This 509-nucleotide ribosomal RNA is filed under the name Enterococcus faecium. Its description in RNAcentral is "bacterial SSU rRNA". It matches the Rfam family "Bacterial small subunit ribosomal RNA", at positions 21 to 501 of the family's 1533-position model. The record is from RNAcentral. Lineage: Bacteria; Bacillati; Bacillota; Bacilli; Lactobacillales; Enterococcaceae.